This 387-nucleotide unclassified non-coding RNA is filed under the name soil metagenome. RNAcentral describes it as "partial contains 5.8S ribosomal RNA, internal transcribed spacer 2, and large subunit ribosomal RNA". The stretch from base 1 to 120 matches the Rfam family "5.8S ribosomal RNA", at positions 35 to 154 of the family's 154-position model. The record is from RNAcentral.
GAUGAAGAACGUAGCGAAAUGCGAUAAGUAAUGUGAAUUGCAGAAUUCAGUGAAUCAUCGAAUCUUUGAACGCACCUUGCACCCUUUGGUAUUCCGAAGGGUAUGCUCGUUUGAGUGUCAUUGUACUCUCACACUUCUAAUUCCUUUCGGGAUUGGGAGCGGUGGACUUGGGUGUUGCUGCUUUAGUUGUGGCUCACCUCAAAUAAGUUAGUGCAACUCUUGGUUGGACAUAGUACGGCGUGAUAAGUGUCUUCGCCUGCGCCUCUGUAAGGAGGGUGGCCGAUCGGGAGCUCUGUGCUUCAAACCGUCUUCGGACAAUCUUUGACAACUUGACCUCAAAUCGAGUAGGACUACCCGCUGAACUUAAGCAUAUCAAUAAGCGGAGGA